AAUAGAUACCCAGGUAGUCCACGCCGUAAACGAUGAGUGCUAAGUGUUAGAGGGUUUCCGCCCUUUAGUGCUGCAGCUAACGCAUUAAGCACUCCGCCUGGGGAGUACGGUCGCAAGACUGAAACUCAAAGGAAUUGACGGGGGGCCCGCACAAGCGGUGGAGCAUGUGGUUUAAUUCGAAGCAACGCGAAGAACCUUACCAGGUCUUGACAUCCCACUGACCGGUAUAGAGAUAUACCUUUCCCCUCGGGGACAGUGGUGACAGGUGGUGCAUGGUUGUCGUCAGCUCGUGUCGUGAGAUGUUGGGUUAAGUCCCGCAACGAGCGCAACCCUUGAUCUUAGUUGCCAGCAUUUAGUUGGGCACUACUAAGGUGACUGCCGGUGACAAACCGGAGGAAGGUGGGGAUGACGUCAAAUCAUCAUGUCCCCUUAUGACCUGGGCUACACACGUGCUACAAUGGAUGGUACAAAGGGCUGCAAGACUGCGAAGUCAAGCCAAUCCCAAUAAAACCAUUCUCAGUUCGGAUUGCGAGG
RNAcentral lists this ribosomal RNA (534 nucleotides) under uncultured bacterium. RNAcentral describes it as "bacterial SSU rRNA". It matches the Rfam family "Bacterial small subunit ribosomal RNA", at positions 777 to 1305 of the family's 1533-position model. The record is from RNAcentral.